Molecule: ribosomal RNA, 133 nt
Filed under: Lachnoanaerobaculum orale
Lineage: Bacteria; Bacillati; Bacillota; Clostridia; Lachnospirales; Lachnospiraceae
Description: partial 23S ribosomal RNA
Rfam family: Bacterial large subunit ribosomal RNA
Source: RNAcentral
GCCCCCCUCAAGAUGGGAUAUCUCAUGUGAAAACAGUAAGACCCCUUGAAGACUACGAGGUAGAUAGGGCCAAGAUGUAAGUACAGUAAUGUAUUGAGUUGAUGGUUACUAAUAGGUCGAGGGUUUAACCAAA